UACAGAGGCCACGAGCGUUAGGCGGAAUCACUGGGCUUAAAGCGUGUGUAGGUGGAUCGGUAAGUACCUUGUAAAAUCCCACGGCUCAACCGUGGAGCUGCUCGGUAUACUGCCAGUCUUGAGGCACUCAGGGGCGAGCGGAACAGAUGGUGGAGCGGUGAAAUGCGUAGAUAUCAGCUGGAACGCCAAUGGUGAAGGCAGCUCGCUGGGGGUGUACUGACGCUGAGACACGAAAGCCAGGGGAGCGAACGGG
Molecule: ribosomal RNA, 253 nt
Filed under: uncultured bacterium
Lineage: Bacteria
Description: partial 16S ribosomal RNA
Rfam family: Bacterial small subunit ribosomal RNA
Source: RNAcentral